This 703-nucleotide ribosomal RNA is filed under the name Bacillus sp. PCAM30. RNAcentral describes it as "bacterial SSU rRNA". It matches the Rfam family "Bacterial small subunit ribosomal RNA", at positions 621 to 1324 of the family's 1533-position model. Lineage: Bacteria; Bacillati; Bacillota; Bacilli; Caryophanales; Bacillaceae. The record is from RNAcentral.
GGUCAUUGGAAACUGGGGAACUUGAGUGCAGAAGAGGAGAGUGGAAUUCCACGUGUAGCGGUGAAAUGCGUAGAGAUGUGGAGGAACACCAGUGGCGAAGGCGACUCUCUGGUCUGUAACUGACGCUGAGGAGCGAAAGCGUGGGGAGCGAACAGGAUUAGAUACCCUGGUAGUCCACGCCGUAAACGAUGAGUGCUAAGUGUUAGGGGGUUUCCGCCCCUUAGUGCUGCAGCUAACGCAUUAAGCACUCCGCCUGGGGAGUACGGUCGCAAGACUGAAACUCAAAGGAAUUGACGGGGGCCCGCACAAGCGGUGGAGCAUGUGGUUUAAUUCGAAGCAACGCGAAGAACCUUACCAGGUCUUGACAUCCUCUGACAAUCCUAGAGAUAGGACGUCCCCUUCGGGGGCAGAGUGACAGGUGGUGCAUGGUUGUCGUCAGCUCGUGUCGUGAGAUGUUGGGUUAAGUCCCGCAACGAGCGCAACCCUUGAUCUUAGUUGCCAGCAUUCAGUUGGGCACUCUAAGGUGACUGCCGGUGACAAACCGGAGGAAGGUGGGGAUGACGUCAAAUCAUCAUGCCCCUUAUGACCUGGGCUACACACGUGCUACAAUGGACAGAACAAAGGGCAGCGAAACCGCGAGGUUAAGCCAAUCCCACAAAUCUGUUCUCAGUUCGGAUCGCAGUCUGCAACUCGACUGCGUGAA